UUGAGAUCUCCUGUAAAUCUAAUCGCUUCGUUGCCAACCUGCUAAAAAAACUGCUCCUCGAUCGAGCCUGCCGCCGGCCAUCUGCUAGAUCUUCUAUUAAAUCUCUCCUUCGAGAAGGGAAAAGGACAGGAAAAGUAUCGAUGUGUCGAUCCCGCAUUCUUGCCGGCCGGCCGUACGGACGAGCAACCAAACGAGGGUAAAAAGAUUCCCAAUAUUGCCGCCGCAGCCCGCUUGCUGCCAUCAGCCACCAUCAGGAAGCACAAUUGUUUGUGAUUGGUUGCAUCUCCUCUACAUCCAAACUUGACUAAACGGUGACUCUGUAGUCUGUAAUGGCCGCCGCUGAUCUCUGUUGCCGGCUUCCUGCAAGCAUGCACCAUCUUCCAUGGCGGGAAUGGAUCGUUUCAUGAGAGAUUCAAAUAAGUUAUGCAGAAGUUCAAGUUCAAGAAAACUGGCGGUUCGAUAUUUAAAAUAUUCUGAAGCAACUUUAUUAUGCUCUCCAGCUAUGGCAGUUGGAGCUGUUACUCCGUGAGGCCCCUGUUGCCGCUGCAAUUUCUUGGAGCUCUGUAUUGCAAAAACGCUACUGCUCCGUCUAUCGAUCUGCUACCACUGCUCUUAAAGGUGUUGAUGAAGUUGAAGUGCUGCUACUGUUAGCUUUGCGCGAGGCUGGCCCCUCCUUCAGGGCGAGCUGCGUCUGGACUUCUGCGGCAGUAUGAUGAGCACUUCGGGAACACGGGGCGAGCACAAAAAAACUCCAGCAAGCUCAUCUGCUCCUGUUGACGUCGCCUGCUGCAACCAAGCUCCGGCACGUGACCCAACGGAUCCCCUGAUGCCGCCGGUACGUGAUUUUGAAGGUAGCCGGCGCUGUUAGACCGGAGUUGGGAGGCAGUGGUGAAGUUUCUGGGCGGUCCAAUGCCGUCGUGCGGCCAGUGCGCCGUCCGCUACGCAGCCGCGACCUGCCACUCGCCCGGGCAACCACCAUCGUAGCCUUCUCCCUCCACACAAGAAGUCUGUCGCCUCGCUUGGCUCGCAGCUCCUCCCACUACCAACUACUGGAAUGCGUGCGCAGGAGCUCCAUGGACGGGCCAUGGAGGCUACGGGAUUGUCACUUAUGCUUUAUUUAAUUUGUGCAUUCUACUGCUGCCGAUAGAGAAGAAGACUGGCGAUGGUCUUUUUCUAUGAACUUCCAUCUAAAUGUGUUCAGGCUAUGGCUGUUCAUUGUCUCCGAACAUUUUUCUCUCUGAACAUUUUUUGUGCC
Triticum aestivum (bread wheat) is the source of this 1255-nucleotide long non-coding RNA. RefSeq lists it as uncharacterized. The record is from RefSeq and is a predicted model, not a curated record. The transcript is spliced from 3 exons. Lineage: Eukaryota; Viridiplantae; Streptophyta; Magnoliopsida; Poales; Poaceae.